RNAcentral lists this ribosomal RNA (851 nucleotides) under Flavoparmelia subcapitata. Its description in RNAcentral is "eukaryotic LSU rRNA". It matches the Rfam family "Eukaryotic large subunit ribosomal RNA", at positions 71 to 936 of the family's 3401-position model. Lineage: Eukaryota; Fungi; Ascomycota; Lecanoromycetes; Lecanorales; Parmeliaceae. The record is from RNAcentral.
GGGAUUGCCUCAGUAACGGCGAGUGAAGCGGCAACAGCUCAAAUUUGAAAUCUGGCCCCUCUCGGGGUCCGAGUUGUAAUUUGUAGAGAGUGUUUCGGGGGAGACCGCGGUCUAAGUCCAUUGGAACAUGGCGUCAUAGAGGGUGAGAAUCCCGUCUGUGACCGCGGAUCGAGCCCAUGUGAAGCCUCUUCGACGAGUCGAGUUGUUUGGGAAUGCAGCUCAAAAUGGGUGGUAAAUUUCAUCUAAAGCUAAAUAUUGGCUGGAGACCGAUAGCGCACAAGUAGAGUGAUCGAAAGAUGAAAAGCACUUUGGAAAGAGAGUUAAACAGUACGUGAAAUUGUUGAAAGGGAAGCGCUUGCGACCAGACCUGCCCGUGGGCGAUCAGCCGCUGUUCUCAGCGGUGCACUCGUUCCACGAUCAGGCCAGCAUCGGUUUCGGCGGUCGGAUAAAGGCCUUGGGAAUGUAGCUUCCUUUCGGGGGAGUCUUAUAGCCCUUGGUGCAAUGCGGCCAGCCGGGACCGAGGACCGCGCUUCGGCUAGGAUGCUGGCGUAAUGGUCGUAAGCGACCCGUCUUGAAACACGGACCAAGGAGUCUAACAUCUAUGCGAGUGUUUGGGUGUCAAACCCAUGCGCGGAAUGAAAGUGAACGGAGGUGAGAACCCUUAAGGGCGCAUCAUCGACCGAUCCAGAUGUCUUCGGAUGGAUUUGAGUAUGAGCAUAGCUGUUGGGACCCGAAAGAUGGUGAACUAUGCCUGAAUAGGGUGAAGCCAGAGGAAACUCUGGUGGAGGCUCGCAGCGGUUCUGACGUGCAAAUCGAUCGUCAAAUUUGGGUAUAGGNGCGAAAGACUAAUC